This 967-nucleotide long non-coding RNA is filed under the name Selaginella moellendorffii. RNAcentral's name for it is "long non-coding RNA (SMOE_LNC001410)". The record is from RNAcentral. Lineage: Eukaryota; Viridiplantae; Streptophyta; Lycopodiopsida; Selaginellales; Selaginellaceae.
CGUGCCUUUGACGCGGGUGGUGAGAUGAGUGACGCCGUCAGGGAUGAACUUGGCGAAGCCGAAGUCGGCAACCUGAGCUUGGAAGUUCGAGUCGAUGAGUAUGUUGCUGGCUUUCACAUCUCGGUGUAUGAUAUGUGGAUUGGCAGUGUGAUGCAAGUACCUGAGAGAGCCACACAGGAGAGAAGAAAAGAAGGUAUGCACGAAGCUGUAAGAGGUUUGAAAGAAACUUACGCUAAUCCUUCUGCAGAACCGAUGGCGAUUUCCACUCGCUUCCUCCAGUCGAGGAGCUUGUCCGACGAGAAGUGACCGUGGAGGUGCGACAGAAGGCUCAGGUUUGGCAUAUAGUCGUAGACGAUCAAUCUCUCCUCGCCCUCAGCGCAGUAGCCACGCAGCUUUAGCAGGUUUUUGUGAUGCAGCCGUCCCAACGUCUCAACUUCCACUGCGAAUGACAUCUCGUUGGUGGUGUUCAUCACUUUGAGCCUCUUGACGGCGAUCUGGAAACAUGAGGUAGGGAGAGAGACUCAAGGCUCUUCUUUUGCUGCUAAUCAAAGUUUUAUUUUUUCACCUCAGAUUUGUCGCCAAGCUGGCCGUAGAAGACGCUCCCAAAGCCCCCCUCGCCGAGCUUAUUCUCAUAGCUGAAGUUGUUCGUGGCGAAUUGCAGCUCCUUCAAGCUAAAAAUCUUCCACGUCCUGGCGCUCUCGUCGUCGUCCCUGGACAAAAGCCCCUCACGGGUAUGAAUUCUGCUGGCCGGCACAGAAUCAAUCAAUCCCUUUACUCACUUCAUACUCCUUCCAGCGUAGCAGCAUCCGGAGCUCAGCCUUUUGGUUACCCAAGACAUAUUCAUUCGCAACUUCAUCACUCGCUUGCAACGACUGAUGCUGAUGAUCAUAUCCAUCGUCUCCUCGCCGUCAUCACCAUCGCAACAGAAGAUGAGAGCCAAGUCAAUACAGCGCUUUGUGCAUAGUGC